This 323-nucleotide ribosomal RNA is filed under the name uncultured eukaryote. Its description in RNAcentral is "partial 18S ribosomal RNA". It matches the Rfam family "Eukaryotic small subunit ribosomal RNA", at positions 1470 to 1796 of the family's 1831-position model. The record is from RNAcentral.
CCCUUAGAUGUUCUGGGCCGCACGCGCGCUACACUGAUACAUGCAACGAGUUUAUAACCUUGAUCUGACGGUCUGGGUAAUCUUCAAACUGUAUCGUGUUAGGGAUCGAUUCUUGCAAUUUUUAAUCGUAAACGAGGAAUCCCUAGUAAACGCAAGUCAUCAGCUUGCAUUGAUUACGUCCCUGCCCUUUGUACACACCGCCCGUCGACUCUACCGAUUGAAUGGUUCGGUGAAAACUUUGGACUGUGGCAUUGUCCUUCAUUGGACUUCGCCGUAGGAAAUUGUUUAAACCUCAUCAUUUAGAGGAAGAAUAAGUCGUAACA